This is a long non-coding RNA of Labeo rohita (rohu), 205 nucleotides long. RefSeq lists it as uncharacterized. The transcript is spliced from 3 exons. NCBI's taxonomy places the organism in Eukaryota, Metazoa, Chordata, Actinopteri, Cypriniformes, Cyprinidae. The record is from RefSeq and is a predicted model, not a curated record.
GCCAGCAAAAGCUUUAGCAUAGAAGCUAAGGCAAAUGGAUUGUCCAAGAUGCCCUGGAAAAACAGUCCAGUGAUGAUGAAGAAAAUUAGAAUGAGACAGACUUGUGCACUUCCAUAAGUCCUGGACCUGCACCAGUAUUAUAGGCCAUCUCAGUCAGAGGGAGGACCAUCAGCCGUACCUACUGGUAUUGAGGAGGAUCAAGGAC